GAUGAAGAACGCAGCGAAAUGCGAUAAGUAAUGCGAAUUGCAGAAUUCAGUGAAUCAUCGAAUCUUUGAACGCACAUUGCGCCCGCCAGUACUCUGGCGGGCAUGCCUGUCUGAGCGUCAUUUCAACCCUCGCCCCCGGCUUCUGUCGGGGACGGUGUUGGGGAUCGGCCUCCCGUCUUCCGGGUGGCCGGCCCCUAAAUUGAGUGGCGACCACGCCGUAACCUCCUCUGCGUAGUAGUUAAACACUCGCGGGCGGAGAGCGGUGCGGCCUGCCGUAAAACCCCCAACUCUUCUAAGGUUGACCUCAGAUCAGGUAGGAAUACCCGCUGAACUUAAGCAUAUCAAUAAGCGGAGGA
This 356-nucleotide unclassified non-coding RNA is filed under the name soil metagenome. RNAcentral describes it as "partial contains 5.8S ribosomal RNA, internal transcribed spacer 2, and large subunit ribosomal RNA". The stretch from base 1 to 120 matches the Rfam family "5.8S ribosomal RNA", at positions 35 to 154 of the family's 154-position model. The record is from RNAcentral.